GACGAACGCUGGCGGCGUGCCUAACACAUGCAAGUCGAACGGGACCCGCAAGGGUUCAGUGGCGAACGGGUGCGUAACACGUGAAGAAUUUAUCCAACGGCGGGGGAUAGCCGGCCCAACGGCCGGGUAAUACCGCGUACGACCCUCGGGGGGCAUCCCCUGAAGGUGAAAGCCGCAAGGCGCCGAUGGAGAACUUCGCGGCCUAUCAGCUAGUUGGUGAGGUCAUGGCUCACCAAGGCGACGACGGGAGCUGGUCCGAGAGGAUGACCAGCCACAUUGGGACUGAGACACGGCCCAGACUCCUACGGGAGGCAGCAGUGGGGAAUAUUGCGCAAUGGGCGAAAGCCUGACGCAGCGACGCCGCGUGUGGGAUGACGGCCUC
Molecule: ribosomal RNA, 382 nt
Filed under: uncultured bacterium
Lineage: Bacteria
Description: bacterial SSU rRNA
Rfam family: Bacterial small subunit ribosomal RNA
Source: RNAcentral